GAUGAAGAACGUAGCGAAAUGCGAUACGUAAUGUGAAUUGCAGAAUUCAGUGAAUCAUCGAAUCUUUGAACGCACAUUGCGCCCGCCAGCACUCUGGCGGGCAUGCCUGUUCGAGCGUCAUUUCAACCAUCAAGCCCCAGGCUUGUGUUGGAGCCCUGCGGCUGCCGCAGCCUCCCAAAACCAGUGGCGGGCUCGCUAUCACACCGAGUGCAGUAGUUUACUCUUCGCUCAGGGCGUGUGGCGGGUGCUAGCCGUGAAACCCCCAACUUCUCAAGGUUGACCUCGGAUCAGGUAGGAAUACCCGCUGAACUUAAGCAUAUCAAUAGCGGAGGA
This 333-nucleotide unclassified non-coding RNA is filed under the name soil metagenome. Its description in RNAcentral is "partial contains 5.8S ribosomal RNA, internal transcribed spacer 2, and large subunit ribosomal RNA". The stretch from base 1 to 120 matches the Rfam family "5.8S ribosomal RNA", at positions 35 to 154 of the family's 154-position model. The record is from RNAcentral.